Molecule: long non-coding RNA, 6887 nt
Filed under: Homo sapiens (human)
Lineage: Eukaryota; Metazoa; Chordata; Mammalia; Primates; Hominidae
Description: HSALNT0295462
Source: RNAcentral
GAGGGGAGCAGCGGAGACAGAGUCUCACGCACAGGUAUGCCCAGACACCCUGAACCCAGUUACUUAACCUCGUCAACCACUGUGGCAUCCGCGGGGUCCGUGGGCCCAUGGGUCUUCCGGGAGGGAUUCUGUGUCCCUGUUAUUGUGUGUCAAUAGGUGUUAGCCUGAUAUUUAUAUUUUUAAUGAGAGAAAACAAACUCCAGAAUUUGGGAACUGUUUUUCCGGUUUUGCUUUAUACCUCUUGGACACUCCUUCGAAGGACUGGAUCUGAGGGGCAUUGGGGUGCGACUACGGUGGACAAGGGAUGAUUAAUUUUCAUCCAAAAAUCUUUGGUGGAUUCCCCCGGCUCUCCAGCUCACCAGUCUAACAGUAGUUUAAAACAGAAGAUCAGCAACGUUUGGAGAGUUUUUUUUUCUUUGCGUUUUAAUGAUAAACUUGAUUUAUUCAAUUCUAUUCUGAGGUUGUCUUUCUAUAUUUUGAGUAUAAAACGAUGGCCAUACUAUGUUGGAACCACUAAGGUUCUUCUCUUCACUUGUUAUUCGUAAAGUCUCUUUGUAAUCUGAGAAUUUCCUGAGUAAACUGGGAACUGUUAUACAUAAUUCCUUGUUUUUGAGCAUUCUUUGUAAACAGGAAUCAGGAUUGGGGGUGGGGAGGGAGGGAGGAGUAGGAGUGCUGAUUUGUGUAACGGAAAAUCAUGGAUUACUUAUGUGAUGGAGCAAAGGUUUAAAAACUCUUAGCGUCCCCGGAUUUCCCCUUUUACUGUUUGCUGAAGAAAAUUCUGUCUUUGACUCCCUUCCUUACCCUCUCCUGGCCUGUGAGCUGCUUCCUCCCUAUUCAGUUUAUUUCCUCCUCCCCUCCCCGCCCCACUCCCCCACCCCCGCAGCCCCCUCCUCUUUUUCAGUGAAGCUGCUGGAGGAAAGUCGGGUUUGGGAGAAGACCCACACAGGCAAGGACAGCAGAACACUGACAUAUAGUUACACUCUUGUCGCCAGCACUGUCAUUAAGAUGUUGUGAAAAGACAAAGACAAAAGAGGAGAGGAAAGAAUAAUAUCUCCGUUUCAGGAGAUAUUCCACAAUAUUCCAGGAUGUUGUGCCUACUGUCCAGAGUCCUUGAUCCGAUGUAGUAAAGAGCUAGGGACAUUUUCACUGAAGGCUUUGAUUGCUGGCAAAAUCUCAUUAAAAGUGUAUACAUUGAUAGGUUGGCCACAGAAUGGCCAAAGAAGAGCCUCUGGCCUACAUCUGCCAAGAUAUAUGUGUAAGAAUACACUCUGCAGCAUUAUUUUUUAUUGUAAAAUAGCAGAACGAAUUUAUUAUUCAAUAAUUAUAAAAUGUUCAAAUGUAUGUGACUAUAUUCGGACAAUGAAAAAUGCAGCUGUUAAAAAUAGACAAUACUGAUGAUUCAGAUGAUGUUACUGAUGAAAAUAAUAACAGAUGACAAUUAUUGAGCAUUUAUGCAAUCUUACAUGCAUUACCUUAUUUAAAGUUCAGAACAACUAAGGAAAUGAGUAACUUGGGGCGGGCGUGAGAGGUUUGGAGGCACAAAAGGAAGAUAGGCAUUCAAGGGACACCAGGAUAGAAGAGCCACAGUAGAAGAGAGAGGAAGAGGAGUCCGCCAGGUGGGAUGCUGCAAGCCGCUGGAUAGCACGGCGGAGAUAGGGCGUUCCUGCCCCGCAAGCCUCCCUGCGACCGCAGGCCUCCGGCCGCCUUCUUCCAGGAAGACGCGCCCUGCUUUCUUCUGAUGUUGGUAGAGACGCUGCAAAGCGCAUCGUCCUCGAGCAUUUCUUCUCUCCCCAAGACCCUCCGAAGGAGCAUUUCUUCUCUCCCCAAGACCCUCCGAAGGAAGGAUGGGCGGACAGACUAAGUGGUCAAACGCGCAGAGCUCCAGCUUCCGCAGGAGCAUUUCCCGAGUGUCUUUCAUGGGUAAGAGUGGGCCCUGCAGGAUAAUGCCUCCCGUUCCCUGAGGAGCAGUGCGGGAGAUGCCCAUGUGGCCAGCUCCUGGGCCACGCGACCCAGGCCCUCCAGGAGGAGCGAGGAGUCCUGGGCCCUGAGCCAGCCCCCUGGACCGGCUGUGCCAAGAGAAGCAGCAAGGGAAGGGGUCCCCUCCUGCCUCAGGGUCUCUGUCCUCCUGGGGUUAAGAGACGUGCAUCCAACUCCCUCUCCAAGUGCUGGAGAGGAGGCUAGGUCUUUCCCACGGGCUGGGGGCCUUGCUGUCCCAAGGACGGCUGGGGAGGAGGAGGAGGCCGGUUGAGAUAUGUGAAGCAGCUCUGGCUACAGCGGGUAGGGAGAGGGCGCGCGGGACCCAGGAGCCUCCGUGCGGAGCCAGGCCUCAGGAGCAGCCGCCUUGUUCCUGGAAGGGGUGCCUCCCUCCAUCUUGUCUCCAAAGACUGUAGGGAGACCUUCUCGCCCGGUAGGAAAGCGACGUCUCCCAUGCUUUCCCACCACGCAGGCCUUGUGGCCUUUCUCCUGCUAGUGUCUGCCCUCCAACCUGCGGGGGCUGCGGCUGCCACGGUUCCACGCUGGGUGGACGCUGCCUGCCCGGGAUCCAAGAGCCGCCGUUGCAGGCGGGAGUUGGGGAGUCGUGUGCAGGUCCGAAGGAGACCCAAGCUCUUGGUCAAGGCUUUUUUGCUAUAGCCAAAUUCAGCGUGUAAAAGACAGAGAGCUCACAUCUGUCUGUUCGUAAGCUUCGGUGAGAACACCAAGGAAGCGCACUCAAGAUUCGUAGGAGGGCGGGAAGGGUCCCUGGCGGCGAUAUCCACAUCGGCGGUGAGCCAAGGCAUGUCAGGAGAGUGAGUGCGCGAACCCAGCCGCCGGAUAGCGCAAACACCACCGCGGACGAGGGCCCCGCAUGUGGAGAAAUCGCAGGGGUCAGCGGAGCCGAAGUGUGGUGGACUAGCCUCCUCCAGGGAGAACCCCCUUCCUGACCACUGUAUGUCCCCCGCCACAUAAGGGGAGAGGAGGGACAGCACAGCCUACUCUCCCCUGGCCGACGAUCAGGGUCACCACCUUCUCCUCUGCUCUCCCCUCGCCAUUCUUCCAAACCACCCUCCGCCAAAGAUUCCACGGACAGUCACCCUCCCAACAACCCAGGCCUCCUUUCAGCAGCGGCUCCCGCCCCACAGCCACCGCGCCCUCUCACCCCCGCGGUUCUGCCCGCCGCCUCUGCCGAGUCUGUGCACUUCACCUCCCUGGGUCCCGCUCCCCCCUGAGCUUACAGUGGACGAGGGGCAGGACGGGGGGAAGGCCAUUCGGCUGCCCUUCUAGCUUCAGAAUCACCCAGUGAACGGGUUUCAACCGUAGCCGGCAAGAUGCGCCUCUCCGGUUUUCCGAGGCUUUGGAACCUGCACAAUUGUUCUGCAAAAGACGGUGGCUCCGCCUAGCAUUGGAUGGGCGCUUGCUCUGCAUGGUGAUGCCGGAGCGAGGGUCGACUGUCCGUAUGUCGCAGUCGGGUGGUGUGCUUGCUUCCAAGUCUGGAGUUGGCUGGUUCAAGCUCGUUCUACUGAGCGUUUCUUGCAUUUUAAAAAUGCUUAAACCGCUGGCAACUUUCUUCUACCCAGCACAUUCUCUCAUGGAAUGGCAGAGCAAGACCAACUUUACCCGCCUCUCCUCCGUGUCUCCCAUACGACAUGAGGACGUAAAUCAAGAUCUGGAUUUUCAUCUGGUAUUGGAUUCCUUCUGCCCGGAAGACUCCUUUGACGUUUCUGUAGUGUGGGUCAGCUGGUAGUGAAUUCGGUCAGCUUAUGAACUCAAAAGAGGUGUAGGAGGAGAGAAGCUCAAUUAUCACCCUGGUCUCCUGGAGUAUCCCAGGCACAGUCCCAAGAGUUCAGCUUUUCAUACUCGAGUUCCUGGGUCCUGAAGGCCUUUUUGGGGAAAGUACUGAUGUUCGUGUCAAGGUUGGGAAGAAAGGGUUUGGGAGGAACCAAGCAACAGGGAGGCAAAGAGAAGACAUCAACAAGCGAGGCAAGAACUUUCCACAGGCUCACACUGGAUACAGGACCAGAGACAAGAAGCUGGCAGUGUGGUGGGGAGGCCAUGGCAAUCAUUAGCUCUGGAGGCCUGAGGAGGACACUCUGAAGAGGAAAGCCCCGCGAUCAUCCGGUUUCACCCCUGUUUUCAUCUACUCUUUUCCUCAGCGAAGCCUAUAUGGGUUCCCGAUGUCACAUCGCAGCUACCGCAUUGGAGGGUUAAGAGCCGCUGACAAAUCUCUUUCGGGAAGGGGUAAGAAGCGCAGCUGGCCCAGAGCCAUGGAGAGAGACGCAAGAGCAGAACCGAAAAUACUUUUCUCCAUCUUGUUUUCUCUCUGCUGUCGGUGAACAUUAACCUUCCACACACACCGGGUCAAUACUGCCUUGGUCUCUACAGGAGGUUUACCAUUUUUUACAGUUCCCGCUGUUUCCCUCCCUGUUUUCCUCAGAAGAAGAGUUCCAAACAAAAGAUCUACUACCCUGAGAAGCGGUGAAGUGCUCCUGGGGCCCACCAAGGCCACACAAGUCAAGGAGUGGAUGGCCUUGCCCCAGCUAUGGCUCAGAUCACCUUUGCAGGAUGACAUCUUGUUGGGAGAUGGUCAUCAGAGACAGGGCCAUGGAAGACGCUGUCAGGAGGAGGCACAGAGGAAAGGCUAUGGGAGCACAAAGCAAGAAAGUGGCCUUCUGCAAGCCAGGAAGAGAGGCCUCCCCAGAAACCAACUCUACCAGCACAUUGAUCUUGGACUUUUGGCCUCUAGAACAUUGAGAAAAUAAAAGUCUGCUGUUAAACCACCCAACCUUUGGUAUCUUUCUAUGGCAGCCUGAGCUGACUAACACCCUUGGUAGGUGGGCAGCAUUCACCUUAUUGGGCUACAUGAUGAGAAGUUAAAGUAACUUUAGCAAUAGGCACCAUUUGAUUUCAUUGUAUAGAUAUUGUGUCUUUUGCACUGAUUUUGCCUUUUUUAGUUGUGUGUAUAUUGAUGCCUGGGCCUAGCAUUACAAGACUAGUCGAAAUGGGAAGAAAGAAAAGAAAGUGGGAAAGAUACCAAGUUCCAUAAUUGCAUCCUCUACCCACAUCCAGUUCUUAGAAUCUUUUCCAAUGGAGACUGCACCUUGUGUACACUCAAAUUCAAUCUGAGCGCACAAUCAUUUAGACAACCAAGGCAACUUUUCCAAUUUUCAGCAUCACACGCUUGGGAAAACAAGUAUUUCAAUCACUAAUUUAAAUAUUCAUUGAGGUAAUUAUUCUGAGGUUGAUGAAAAAUAUGGUGUAUCCAUGUACUGUUGCCUUCUCCUGGGUCAAGAAUGUUGUCUUUACUCUGCUGGCUCACAUUUGACCAGAAAUUGGAGUCCCAGCAAAUCUUACUAGCCACUCAGGAAGCCUAUUUUAAGAUAGUCCCAAUCUCAAACUUGUUCUAAGACUUGUAUGCUGACUGAGGAGAAAGAGCCUCAUGACAAAAAUUCAACUAGAGCUGUGGGUGACAGUUGUGUGUCUCACUACUGGUCUGGGCCCAGGUUUCCCGUGAGCACCUAAUGAAUAGACUCAAUUGCAGGGAUCGUCAAGAUGCUCACUAUGUCUACCUCAUAGCCUCAAAAGAAGUGAUAACUAACAGAAUUUGUGUAGUAUCCUGAAGGGAAAUUAAUCCAGAUAUAGAGGAAAAGAUAAGGAUUUUUUAAAACAGACAUGUGAUUCAACAGUUGUUUAAGAUGCAGAAAGCUGUAAGAGACAGUUGUUCCCACUCUAAUGACAAGAAAAAGCUGUAUGGUCUGCAAAAUCAUACGUGCUUUGAUCCCACCAGAGAGCUGAAGUUGCAAGGCCCCUGAGUCAGCUGAAGUCCAAAGCGUGAGAAAACCCCCUAUAGAAGGACAAACACAUGAAGCAGUUCAUCUUUGACAGAUAAUGGAAGGAAAAGAUGGCAGCCAUAAAUGUUCAUUGGAGAAAAUCACUGAAGAUUUCAUCAUUUCUUAAAGGCCAAGUGUGAACUAUUGUGACAGAUUAGAAACUCUGAGAGUCCCAGAUACAUAGCAUGGUUUUGCCCAUUUGCUGGGUCCUUCCUCCCACGUCCUUAGUGCUGACAAGACACAUGUAACAGGGAAAGAGGAUUUCUCAAGCUUGCCACAGUGGCGUAGGCAUAAAAGUCAUGAUCACAUGAUCGACCACCACCAGAGUACAGGCACAAAACCUGGUUGCUUCUCACAUAAAACAAAAGGCAUCUACCACUGAUGUUGGAGCUAGGAACUCGUCCAACCCUUGGCCCCAGGGAUAGGGCAACUGCUGAGGUAGGGUUAGACAGAAAAACUGUCUGUAUUGGACAAGGGGAGGAGACUUGCUCUUGCCCAAGACUUCCCAUCAUUGAAAGGUAGUGUUCCGCUACCCCAAGGGGAUGUCACAGGAACACUAGGACCCAGGUAUCCAUGGCCUGAGGCUUGAUACACAUUCAGUGCAAUCAGUAAUGUGAGUUGGUUUCGACCAAUCAUUUGAGUUGGUUGCAGACCCUUUCCUCUAAUGAGGAAAAACUGUGGUGUGGGUACAAAGUUUCCACGUUCAGAAAGAUUGGCCUUGUCCUUACAGAUAUUAUAUUGAUUGGAUUUCUCUCAACCUCCUUAAGUUAUGUUUACCAUUAUUAAAAUUAAGUGACAUUCACUUGGAAGAAGUGGUAAUACAAACAGGUUGUGAGAAUUUAUAGUGAUUUUUGAUCCCAAGCCUUGUAUCACUGUUGGGUCUUCAUGUGUGUACUUGAAAACAAAACAUGUACAAUUGUUGCACUGGUUUGAAGAUUUUAAUGGUGGAAGUGACCUAAUCAGUAAUCAGUACUGUAUCUAGAAACGAAUCUUGGAAAUAUGUGAUUAUGCUCUUUUAAAAUCGCUGAAAAGAAGGCUGGGUGUGGUGGCUCAUUCCUAUAAUUCCACACUUUGAGAGGCUGA